RNAcentral lists this unclassified non-coding RNA (220 nucleotides) under Hevea brasiliensis (rubber tree). The record is from RNAcentral. Lineage: Eukaryota; Viridiplantae; Streptophyta; Magnoliopsida; Malpighiales; Euphorbiaceae.
GAAGAAGAGAACGAAUAGGAUGGGGCUGGUUCAUGGCAGCAUGAGCGUUGUGUACCAAAUUCACGCUCUUGUAGUGCACAAGUGCUUGAAGAUUGACGCGCAGGUGAUUUUUGUUGACAUUGGCGUUGGUGAGGAGGCCAGAGCUGUGUUGUUGGUUGAUGUUCAUCUUCCCGUUGAAUUGUGGUUCGGUUGGCAGUUUCCUAAAUCCAAGACGGUUGCU